UUAAAUUGAAGAGUUUGAUCAUGGCUCAGAUUGAACGCUGGCGGCAGGCCUAACACAUGCAAGUCGAACGGUAACAGAAAGCAGCUUGCUGCUUUGCUGA
This 100-nucleotide ribosomal RNA is filed under the name Escherichia coli. RNAcentral's name for it is "partial 16S ribosomal RNA". It matches the Rfam family "Bacterial small subunit ribosomal RNA", at positions 1 to 94 of the family's 1533-position model. Lineage: Bacteria; Pseudomonadati; Pseudomonadota; Gammaproteobacteria; Enterobacterales; Enterobacteriaceae. The record is from RNAcentral. RNAcentral also lists the same sequence under 2 other names.